GGAGAAUUGGAAUUACAUGUAUCGCCUGUAAUUGCCGAAUUCACCCCAUUAUCACCUGAAGCGUACGAUAUUUUCCUUAUCUAUCUUGCGAGGAAGACUAAUUCAAUCAAUCGAAGGGUGAGAUCCACCAUUUUCAUCAAGAUGAACACACGUUUAUAUCUUCCUUGCAUUUGGUAAAGAGUCCAUUAGGAUCUGCUUGUGGCGUAGCCAAGAUGUUUUGUACCUUAAUAUUUACAAAAUCAAGUCAAAAAACAAGUGUAAGAUGUAAUCCAUUCAACUUGAUUUGUACUUAGGAGAAAAAAAAUUCUGAUAUAUUGUUUUAAAAGCUUACCUGGAAUGUAUCGUAUGUAGUUUGUAAUAUAAAAACAGGUGUUUUGACA
Lactuca sativa (garden lettuce) is the source of this 380-nucleotide long non-coding RNA. RefSeq lists it as uncharacterized. Lineage: Eukaryota; Viridiplantae; Streptophyta; Magnoliopsida; Asterales; Asteraceae. The record is from RefSeq and is a predicted model, not a curated record.